GAAUUGCAGAAUCCCGUGAACCAUUGAGUUUUUGAACGCAAGUUGCGCCYGAAGCCAUUAGGUUGAAGGCACGUCUGCCUGGGCGUCACGC
RNAcentral lists this ribosomal RNA (91 nucleotides) under Vaccinium amphoterum. RNAcentral's name for it is "partial 5.8S ribosomal RNA". It matches the Rfam family "5.8S ribosomal RNA", at positions 69 to 154 of the family's 154-position model. Rfam says of the family: 5.8S ribosomal RNA (5.8S rRNA) is a component of the large subunit of the eukaryotic ribosome. The record is from RNAcentral. Lineage: Eukaryota; Viridiplantae; Streptophyta; Magnoliopsida; Ericales; Ericaceae.